Molecule: ribosomal RNA, 440 nt
Filed under: uncultured bacterium
Lineage: Bacteria
Description: bacterial SSU rRNA
Rfam family: Bacterial small subunit ribosomal RNA
Source: RNAcentral
UAGGGAAUCUUCCACAAUGGACGCAAGUCUGAUGGAGCAACGCCGCGUGAGUGAAGAAGGUUUUCGGAUCGUAAAGCUCUGUUGUUGGUGAAGAAGGAUAGAGGCAGUAACUGGUCUUUAUUUGACGGUAAUCAACCAGAAAGUCACGGCUAACUACGUGCCAGCAGCCGCGGUAAUACGUAGGUGGCAAGCGUUGUCCGGAUUUAUUGGGCGUAAAGCGAGCGCAGGCGGAAUGAUAAGUCUGAUGUGAAAGCCCACGGCUCAACCGUGGAACUGCAUCGGAAACUGUCAUUCUUGAGUGCAGAAGAGGAGAGUGGAAUUCCAUGUGUAGCGGUGGAAUGCGUAGAUAUAUGGAAGAACACCAGUGGCGAAGGCGGCUCUCUGGUCUGCAACUGACGCUGAGGCUCGAAAGCAUGGGUAGCGAACAGGAUUAGAUACCC